Molecule: ribosomal RNA, 1533 nt
Filed under: Salmonella enterica subsp. enterica serovar Hadar str. RI_05P066
Lineage: Bacteria; Pseudomonadati; Pseudomonadota; Gammaproteobacteria; Enterobacterales; Enterobacteriaceae
Description: bacterial SSU rRNA
Rfam family: Bacterial small subunit ribosomal RNA
Source: RNAcentral
AGAGUUUGAUCAUGGCUCAGAUUGAACGCUGGCGGCAGGCCUAACACAUGCAAGUCGAACGGUAACAGGAAGCAGCUUGCUGCUUCGCUGACGAGUGGCGGACGGGUGAGUAAUGUCUGGGAACUGCCUGAUGGAGGGGGAUAACUACUGGAAACGGUGGCUAAUACCGCAUAACGUCGCAAGACCAAAGAGGGGGACCUUCGGGCCUCUUGCCAUCAGAUGUGCCCAGAUGGGAUUAGCUAGUUGGUGAGGUAACGGCUCACCAAGGCGACGAUCCCUAGCUGGUCUGAGAGGAUGACCAGCCACACUGGAACUGAGACACGGUCCAGACUCCUACGGGAGGCAGCAGUGGGGAAUAUUGCACAAUGGGCGCAAGCCUGAUGCAGCCAUGCCGCGUGUAUGAAGAAGGCCUUCGGGUUGUAAAGUACUUUCAGCGGGGAGGAAGGUGUUGUGGUUAAUAACCACAGCAAUUGACGUUACCCGCAGAAGAAGCACCGGCUAACUCCGUGCCAGCAGCCGCGGUAAUACGGAGGGUGCAAGCGUUAAUCGGAAUUACUGGGCGUAAAGCGCACGCAGGCGGUCUGUCAAGUCGGAUGUGAAAUCCCCGGGCUCAACCUGGGAACUGCAUUCGAAACUGGCAGGCUUGAGUCUUGUAGAGGGGGGUAGAAUUCCAGGUGUAGCGGUGAAAUGCGUAGAGAUCUGGAGGAAUACCGGUGGCGAAGGCGGCCCCCUGGACAAAGACUGACGCUCAGGUGCGAAAGCGUGGGGAGCAAACAGGAUUAGAUACCCUGGUAGUCCACGCCGUAAACGAUGUCUACUUGGAGGUUGUGCCCUUGAGGCGUGGCUUCCGGAGCUAACGCGUUAAGUAGACCGCCUGGGGAGUACGGCCGCAAGGUUAAAACUCAAAUGAAUUGACGGGGGCCCGCACAAGCGGUGGAGCAUGUGGUUUAAUUCGAUGCAACGCGAAGAACCUUACCUGGUCUUGACAUCCACAGAACUUUCCAGAGAUGGAUUGGUGCCUUCGGGAACUGUGAGACAGGUGCUGCAUGGCUGUCGUCAGCUCGUGUUGUGAAAUGUUGGGUUAAGUCCCGCAACGAGCGCAACCCUUAUCCUUUGUUGCCAGCGGUUAGGCCGGGAACUCAAAGGAGACUGCCAGUGAUAAACUGGAGGAAGGUGGGGAUGACGUCAAGUCAUCAUGGCCCUUACGACCAGGGCUACACACGUGCUACAAUGGCGCAUACAAAGAGAAGCGACCUCGCGAGAGCAAGCGGACCUCAUAAAGUGCGUCGUAGUCCGGAUUGGAGUCUGCAACUCGACUCCAUGAAGUCGGAAUCGCUAGUAAUCGUGGAUCAGAAUGCCACGGUGAAUACGUUCCCGGGCCUUGUACACACCGCCCGUCACACCAUGGGAGUGGGUUGCAAAAGAAGUAGGUAGCUUAACCUUCGGGAGGGCGCUUACCACUUUGUGAUUCAUGACUGGGGUGAAGUCGUAACAAGGUAACCGUAGGGGAACCUGCGGUUGGAUCACCUCCUU